This 497-nucleotide ribosomal RNA is filed under the name uncultured bacterium. RNAcentral's name for it is "partial 16S ribosomal RNA". It matches the Rfam family "Bacterial small subunit ribosomal RNA", at positions 28 to 507 of the family's 1533-position model. The record is from RNAcentral.
GAUGAACGCUGGCGGCGUGCCUAAUACAUGCCAGUCGAGCGAACAGACGAGGAGCUUGCUCCUCUGACGUUAGCGGCGGACGGGUGAGUAACACGUGGAUAACCUACCUAUAAGACUGGGAUAACUUCGGGAAACCGGAGCUAAUACCGGAUAAUAUAUUGAACCGCAUGGUUCAAUAGUGAAAGACGGUUUUGCUGUCACUUAUAGAUGGAUCCGCGCCGCAUUAGCUAGUUGGUAAGGUAACGGCUUACCAAGGCAACGAUGCGUAGCCGACCUGAGAGGGUGAUCGGCGACACUGGAACUGAGACACGGUCCAGACUCCUACGGGAGGCAGCAGUAGGGAAUCUUCCGCAAUGGGCGAAAGCUUGACGGAGCAACGCCGCGUGAGUGAUGAAGGUCUUCGGAUCGUAAAACUCUGUUAUUAGGGAAGAACAAAUGUGUAAGUAACUAUGCACGUCUUGACGGUACCUAAUCAGAAAGCCACGGCUAACUACGUG